Molecule: ribosomal RNA, 422 nt
Filed under: uncultured Clostridium sp.
Lineage: Bacteria; Bacillati; Bacillota; Clostridia; Eubacteriales; Clostridiaceae
Description: bacterial SSU rRNA
Rfam family: Bacterial small subunit ribosomal RNA
Source: RNAcentral
UGGGGAAUAUUGGGCAAUGGGCGCAAGCCUGACCCAGCAACGCCGCGUGAAGGAAGAAGGCUUUCGGUAUGUAAAGCUCUAUCAGCAAGGAAGAAAAUGACGGUACUUGACUAAGAAGCCCCGGCUAACUACGUGCCAGCAGCCGCGGUAAUACGUAGGGGGCAAGCGUUAUCCGGAUUUACUGGGUGUAAAGGGAGCGUAGACGGCAAAGCAAGUCUGAAGUGAAAGCCCCGGGCUCAACCCGGGAACUGCUUUGGAAACUGUUUAGCUAGAGUGCAGGAGAGGUAAGUGGAAUUCCUAGUGUAGCGGUGAAAUGCGUAGAUAUUAGGAGGAACACCAGUGGCGAAGGCGGCUUACUGGACUGUAACUGACGUUGAGGCUCGAAAGCGUGGGGAGCAAACAGGAUUAGAUACCCUGGUAGU